Small nucleolar RNA from Hemicordylus capensis (graceful crag lizard), 88 nucleotides. RefSeq annotates it as small nucleolar RNA SNORA5. NCBI's taxonomy places the organism in Eukaryota, Metazoa, Chordata, Lepidosauria, Squamata, Cordylidae. The transcript has a single exon. The record is from RefSeq and is a predicted model, not a curated record.
UGCAGUUAUUACAAAAGCAGGUCUCAUGGAUCGUGAGACCUGCCUCAUAUGACUGCCCCAGAGUAAUCCAGUGAGGUCAUUCACACAA